Spea bombifrons (plains spadefoot toad) is the source of this 320-nucleotide long non-coding RNA. RefSeq lists it as uncharacterized. The record is from RefSeq and is a predicted model, not a curated record. The transcript has 2 exons. Lineage: Eukaryota; Metazoa; Chordata; Amphibia; Anura; Pelobatidae.
UAUAUAUAAUAUUGUUGUUGGGGGGUUUUGUCCAAUUUGGGUGUGUUAUUUUUAAUAAAGUGGGGUUUUUUUAAAGGGGGGGUCAUUUUCAGUUUCGGUCAAGUGAUAGCUGAAUUUUCGGUCCAGAAUUUUCAUUUCGGUGCAUCCCUAUAUACUAAGCCAGACACUGAAGCAGUAGGCCUACACCACAUCAAUGUUUAGCUUAGUAUAUAGUGAUAGGGGUUAUGCUACAUUAUUGGCAAUGUCUGGCUCAAUGUAUAGUGAUAGGUGUUAUGCUGUACCCCUGUCAAUGGUAUGCAGUUUUUCCCAAUAAAAGAAAA